GGGCCCAUGGUCCAACGGUACGAUAUCUGCUUGACGUGCAGAGGACAGGAGUUCGACUCUCCUUGGGCCCA
This 71-nucleotide transfer RNA is filed under the name Candidatus Micrarchaeota archaeon CG10_big_fil_rev_8_21_14_0_10_45_29. RNAcentral describes it as "tRNA-Val". It matches the Rfam family "tRNA". From Rfam's summary of the family: Transfer RNA (tRNA) molecules are approximately 80 nucleotides in length. Their secondary structure includes four short double-helical elements and three loops (D, anti-codon, and T loops). Lineage: Archaea; Nanobdellati; Microcaldota. The record is from RNAcentral.